GUGCUCACGUCAGCGGCACAUAUACUAAAAUGGGAAAAAUACAGAGAACUGGCCCUUGCACAGGGAAUACAGGCAAAUUCAUUCAUGCAGUGUUCU
Cavia aperea (Brazilian guinea pig) is the source of this 96-nucleotide small nuclear RNA. Lineage: Eukaryota; Metazoa; Chordata; Mammalia; Rodentia; Caviidae. The record is from Ensembl.